Molecule: ribosomal RNA, 465 nt
Filed under: Vreelandella stevensii
Lineage: Bacteria; Pseudomonadati; Pseudomonadota; Gammaproteobacteria; Oceanospirillales; Halomonadaceae
Description: partial 16S ribosomal RNA
Rfam family: Bacterial small subunit ribosomal RNA
Source: RNAcentral
CCUACGGGUGGCAGCAGUGGGGAAUAUUGGACAAUGGGGGGAACCCUGAUCCAGCCAUGCCGCGUGUGUGAAGAGGGCCCUCGGGUUGUAAAGCACUUUCAGUGAGGAAGAACGCCUGGUGGUUAAUACCCAUCAGGAAAGACAUCACUCACAGAAGAAGCACCGGCUAACUCCGUGCCAGCAGCCGCGGUAAUACGGAGGGUGCGAGCGUUAAUCGGAAUUACUGGGCGUAAAGCGCGCGUAGGUGGCUUGAUAAGCCGGUUGUGAAAGCCCCGGGCUCAACCUGGGAACGGCAUCCGGAACUGUCAAGCUAGAGUGCAGGAGAGGAAGGUAGAAUUCCCGGUGUAGCGGUGAAAUGCGUAGAGAUCGGGAGGAAUACCAGUGGCGAAGGCGGCCUUCUGGACUGACACUGACACUGAGGUGCGAAAGCGUGGGUAGCAAACAGGAUUAGAUACCCCGGUAGUC